RNAcentral lists this ribosomal RNA (478 nucleotides) under uncultured bacterium. Its description in RNAcentral is "partial 16S ribosomal RNA". It matches the Rfam family "Bacterial small subunit ribosomal RNA", at positions 28 to 523 of the family's 1533-position model. The record is from RNAcentral.
GACGAACGCUGGCGGCGUGCUUAACACAUGCAAGUCGAACGAUGAACCACUUCGGUGGGGAUUAGUGGCGAACGGGUGAGUAACACGUGGGCAAUCUGCCCUUCACUCUGGGACAAGCCCUGGAAACGGGGUCUAAUACCGGAUACGAGCCUCCAGGGCAUCUUGGAGGUUGGAAAGCUCCGGCGGUGAAGGAUGAGCCCGCGGCCUAUCAGCUUGUUGGUGAGGUAAUGGCUCACCAAGGCGACGACGGGUAGCCGGCCUGAGAGGGCGACCGGCCACACUGGGACUGAGACACGGCCCAGACUCCUACGGGAGGCAGCAGUGGGGAAUAUUGCACAAUGGGCGAAAGCCUGAUGCAGCGACGCCGCGUGAGGGAUGACGGCCUUCGGGUUGUAAACCUCUUUCAGCAGGGAAGAAGCGAAAGUGACGGUACCUGCAGAAGAAGCGCCGGCUAACUACGUGCCAGCAGCCGCCGUAA